RNAcentral lists this unclassified non-coding RNA (323 nucleotides) under uncultured Aspergillus. Its description in RNAcentral is "sequence contains ITS1". The stretch from base 1 to 105 matches the Rfam family "5.8S ribosomal RNA", at positions 50 to 154 of the family's 154-position model. The record is from RNAcentral. Lineage: Eukaryota; Fungi; Ascomycota; Eurotiomycetes; Eurotiales; Aspergillaceae.
GAAAUGCGAUAACUAAUGUGAAUUGCAGAAUUCAGUGAAUCAUCGAGUCUUUGAACGCACAUUGCGCCCCCUGGUAUUCCGGGGGGCAUGCCUGUCCGAGCGUCAUUGCUGCCCUCAAGCACGGCUUGUGUGUUGGGCCACCGUCCCGGGAACUUCUGGUCCCUGGGACGGGCCCGAAAGGCAGCGGCGGCACCGUGUCUGGUCCUCGAGCGUAUGGGGCUUUGUCACCCGCUCCCGUAGGUCCAGCCGGCGGCCAGCCUCGCAACCAACCAUUCUUUAACCAGGUUGACCUCGGAUCAGGUAGGGAUACCCGCUGAACUUAA